RNAcentral lists this ribosomal RNA (497 nucleotides) under uncultured bacterium. RNAcentral describes it as "partial 16S ribosomal RNA". It matches the Rfam family "Bacterial small subunit ribosomal RNA", at positions 28 to 507 of the family's 1533-position model. The record is from RNAcentral.
GAUGAACGCUGGCGGCGUGCCUAAUACAUGCAAGUCGAGCGAACAGAUGAGGUGCUUGCUCCUCUGACGUUAGCGGCGGACGGGUGAGUAACACGUGGAUAACCUACCUAUAAGACUGGGAUAACUUCGGGAAACCGGAGCUAAUACCGGAUCAUAUAUUGAACCGCAUGGUUCAAUAGUGAAAGACGGUUUUGCUGUCACUUAUAGAUGGAUCCGCGCCGCAUUAGCGAGUUGGUAAGGUAACGGCUUACCAAGGCAACGAUGCGUAGCCGACCUGAGAGGGUGAUCGGCCACACUGGAACUGAGACACGGUCCAGACUCCUACGGGAGGCAGCAGUAGGGAAUCUUCCGCAAUGGGCGAAAGCCUGACGGAGCAACGCCGCGUGAGUGAUGAAGGUCUUCGGAUCGUAAAACUCUGUUAUUAGGGAAGAACAAAUGUGUAAGUAACGAUGCACGUCUUGACGGUACCUAAUCAGAAAGCCACGGCUAACUACGUG